CCCUUAGAUGUCCUUGGCCGCACGCGCGCUACACUGAGUGUCUGAGAUACGAGUCUGCCUGGUCCGGCAAGGUCUAGGUAAUCGCUAAAAGACACAUCAUGCUUGGGAUAGAUUAUUGCAAAUAUUAAUCUUGAACGAGGAAUUCCUAGUAAGCGCAAGUCAACAGCUUGCGUUGAUUACGUCCCUGCCCUUUGUACACACCGCCCGUCGCUACUACUGAUUGGAUGUUUAAGCGAGGUUCUCGAACUGCUAGCGACUUAGCUUCGGUGAGGUCGCAGUGUGGGAAGUGAACCUAGCUUUGGUGUCUAGAGGAAGUAAAAGUCGUAACA
This 329-nucleotide ribosomal RNA is filed under the name uncultured eukaryote. RNAcentral's name for it is "partial 18S ribosomal RNA". It matches the Rfam family "Eukaryotic small subunit ribosomal RNA", at positions 1470 to 1796 of the family's 1831-position model. The record is from RNAcentral.